RNAcentral lists this ribosomal RNA (253 nucleotides) under uncultured bacterium. RNAcentral describes it as "partial 16S ribosomal RNA". It matches the Rfam family "Bacterial small subunit ribosomal RNA", at positions 524 to 776 of the family's 1533-position model. The record is from RNAcentral.
UACGUAGGGUGCGAGCGUUAAUCGGAAUUACUGGGCGUAAAGCGUGCGCAGGCGGUUUUGUAAGCCAGAUGUGAAAUCCCCGGGCUUAACCUGGGAAUGGCAUUUGGGACUGCAAGGCUCGAGUGCGGCAGAGGAGACUGGAAUUCCUGGUGUAGCAGUGAAAUGCGCAGAUAUCAGGAGGAACACCGAUGGCGAAGGCAGGUCUCUGGGCCGAUACUGACGCUGAGGAGCGAAAGCGUGGGGAGCGAACAGG